GAUGAACGCUGGCGGCGUGCCUAACACAUGCAAGUCGAGCGAACAGACGAGGAGCUUGCUCCUCUGAAGUUAGCGGCGGACGGGUGAGUAACACGUGGAUAACCUACAUAUAAGACUGGGAUAAGUUCGGGAAACCGGAGCUAAUACCGGAUAAUAUAUUGAACCGCAUGGUUCAAUAGUGAAAGACGGUUUUGCUGUCACUUAUAGAUGGAUCCGCGCCGCAUUAGCUAGUUGGUAAGGUAACGGCCUACCAAGGCGACGAUGCGUAGCCGACCUGAGAGGAUGAUCAGCCACACUGGAACUGAGACACGGUCCAGACUCCUACGGGAGGCAGCAGUAGGGAAUCUUCCGCAAUGGGCGAAAGCCUGACGCAGCAACGCCGCGUGAGUGAUGAAGGUCUUCGGAUCGUAAAACUCUGUUAUUAGGGAAGAACAAAUGUGUAAGUAACUAUUCACGUCUUGACGUUACCUAAUCAGUAAGCCACGGCUAACUACGUG
Molecule: ribosomal RNA, 497 nt
Filed under: uncultured bacterium
Lineage: Bacteria
Description: partial 16S ribosomal RNA
Rfam family: Bacterial small subunit ribosomal RNA
Source: RNAcentral